CGUAAUCGUUGCGCCGAUUUGAGGAUCAGCUUGCGGGCGCGUUAAAAAUUCGGCUAAAGCGGCGAGGUUUCUCCGACC
RNAcentral lists this non-coding RNA (78 nucleotides) under Betaproteobacteria bacterium. The record is from RNAcentral. Lineage: Bacteria; Pseudomonadati; Pseudomonadota; Betaproteobacteria.